RNAcentral lists this ribosomal RNA (253 nucleotides) under uncultured bacterium. RNAcentral's name for it is "partial 16S ribosomal RNA". It matches the Rfam family "Bacterial small subunit ribosomal RNA", at positions 524 to 776 of the family's 1533-position model. The record is from RNAcentral.
UACGGAGGGUGCAAGCGUUAUCCGGAAUCACUGGGUUUAAAGGGUGCGUAGGCGGCUUGAUACGUCAGGGGUGAAAGCUUCCCGCUCAACGGGAGAACUGCCUUUGAUACUGUCAGGCUCGAAUUGGGUUGAGGCCGGCGGAAUGUGGCAUGUAGCGGGGAAAUGCUUAGAUAUGCCAUAGAACACCGAGUGCGAAGGCAGCCGGCCAAGCCUUGAUUGACGCUGAGGCACGAAAGCGUGGGGAGCGAACAGG